This 253-nucleotide ribosomal RNA is filed under the name uncultured bacterium. Its description in RNAcentral is "partial 16S ribosomal RNA". It matches the Rfam family "Bacterial small subunit ribosomal RNA", at positions 524 to 776 of the family's 1533-position model. The record is from RNAcentral.
UACGUAGGGUGCGAGCGUUAAUCGGAAUUACUGGGCGUAAAGUGUGCGCAGGCGGCGCCGCAUGUCGAGUGUGAAAGCCCCGAGCUUAACUUGGGAAUUGCGCUCGGAACUACGGUGCUGGAGUGUGGCAGAGGAAGGUGGAAUUCCACGUGUAGCGGUGAAAUGCGUAGAGAUGUGGAGGAACACCGAUGGCGAAGGCAGCCUUCUGGGCCAACACUGACGCUGAUGCACGAAAGCGUGGGGAGCAAACAGG